GAUGAACGCUGGCGGCGUGCCUAAUACAUGCAAGUCGAGCGAACGGACGAGAAGCUUGCUUUUCUGAUGUUAGCGGCGGACGGGUGAGUAACACGUGGAUAACCUACCUAUAAGACUGGGAUAACUUCGGGAAACCGGUGCUAAUACCGGAUAAUAUUUUGAACCGCAUGGUUCAAAAGUGAAAGACGGUCUUGCUGUCACUUAUAGAUGGAUCCGCGCUGCAUUAGCUAGUUGGUAAGGUAACGGCUUACCAAGGCAACGAUGCAUAGCCGACCUGAGAGGGUGAUCGGCCACACUGGAACUGAGACACGGUCCAGACUCCUACGUGAGGCAGCAGUAGGGAAUCUUCCGCAAUGGGCGAAAGCCUGACGGAGCAACGCCGCGUGAGUGAUGAAGGUCUUCGGAUCGUAAAACUCUGUUAUUAGGGAAGAACAUAUGUGUAAGUAACUGUGCACAUCUUGACGGUACCUAAUCAGAAAGCCACGGCUAACUACGUG
This 497-nucleotide ribosomal RNA is filed under the name uncultured bacterium. RNAcentral's name for it is "partial 16S ribosomal RNA". It matches the Rfam family "Bacterial small subunit ribosomal RNA", at positions 28 to 507 of the family's 1533-position model. The record is from RNAcentral.